This 459-nucleotide ribosomal RNA is filed under the name uncultured bacterium. RNAcentral describes it as "partial 16S ribosomal RNA". It matches the Rfam family "Bacterial small subunit ribosomal RNA", at positions 338 to 794 of the family's 1533-position model. The record is from RNAcentral.
CCUACGGGUGGCAGCAGUGAGGAAUAUUGGUCAAUGGACGCAAGUCUGAACCAGCCAUGCCGCGUGCAGGAAGACGGCUCUAUGAGUUGUAAACUGCUUUUGUACGAGGGUAAACGCAGAUACGCGUAUCUGUCUGAAAGUAUCGUACGAAUAAGGCUCGGCUAACUCCGUGCCAGCAGCAGCGGUAAUACGGAGGAUUCAAGCGUUAUCCGGAUUUAUUGGGGUUAAAGGGUGGGUAGGCGGUCGGAUAAGUUAGAGGUGAAAGCCCGAGGCUCAACUUCGGAAUUGCCUCUGAUACUGUUCGGCUAGAGAGUAGUUGCGGUAGGCGGAAUGUAUGGUGUAGCGGUGAAAUGCUUAGAGAUCAUACAGAACACCGAUUGCGAAGGCAGCUUACCAAGCUACUUCUGACGUUGAGGCACGAAAGCGUGGGGAGCAAACAGGAUUAGAUACCCCAGUAGU